Gigantopelta aegis is the source of this 4121-nucleotide long non-coding RNA. RefSeq lists it as uncharacterized. The record is from RefSeq and is a predicted model, not a curated record. Lineage: Eukaryota; Metazoa; Mollusca; Gastropoda; Neomphalida; Peltospiridae. The transcript has 3 exons.
UAUUUAAGUUGGUAUGGGUUUAAAACUUAAGAACAUGUUUUUAUAUGAAUUUUAAAUUGAUUAAUUUUGAAGUUAUAUGCCAAUUCAUUGGUUUCCUUUUGAAUCAAAUGGACUAUAUACGGUGAACACAUGGUUAUUAUUCAAUAAAGAACAUUCUAGUUUUGAUUUUGGCUGCACAGUUAAAUUUCAAUUUGAUAAUUGGAGGGCUAGUUGAAUUUGAAAAGGGCCAGUAAGUUGAUGAACAAAAAGUAAGUGCUCUGUGUUUAAGCUUAGAAGAAGCUAUGGAAUUUUUUUUUUUUUAAAGUUAAUUUGUCUGUUGUGCAAAAUGUUUAGUUGCAGUGAAGCUAAAUAUUUAUGCAGUGGGUUUCUCUUAAGAGAUGGGGAUGCUUGUGGUGGCUACUUUGGAUAAUUUUCACAUAGGCUGUCAUGUCUACCAACUGCCACUUGAUUGUGAUUUGUAUGGAUGUGAAGUUCGUCAAAAAUCUAUUACAAAUCAUACCUUUUGGGGACACAUUUUGGAAUUUGGGCCAUAUUAUCAUGGAUUAAUACAAAAAGAUAUCUCAAAAUAUACUCUUCAAAAAAAGAAAUUUGACAUUGGUAAAAAUAAUGCUAUCAGAUUAUUUUUACAGAAUCAAAGACAUAAAGACAAUCAAGUGACUGAAUGGUGAUGCAAAAACACUAGAAACAUGUUCGAUUCGCAUAAACAUAGCCAUAGUCAACGUUUGUACUGAAACGCAAAAGUGCAACCCUCAGAGAAGCACGUGCAUCAUGAAGUUCAGUAACUUUGCAUGCUGAACCCUCUAUUGGUGGGGCGUAAAAGGCCACAUCAGCAGUGAUUCAAACAGACUGCAUAACAAUACUGUAGGUAACGCAAUAAUGCCAAGAUUGACGUCAGCUGAAUGCAAUAAUGCCAUUGGGAGAUUGCAAGCAGGGGCAACUCAACAAGCUGUGGUAAGGCACUUUGGCGUCUCUAGACAGACCAUCUCUGCUUUAUUGGCACAAUACAACACCACUCCAAGUGUUAAUGACAGGCCAAGGUCAGGUCGUCCCAGAGUAACCACUGCCACUCGAGAUUGAUACAUCCGGGUGUGUCAUUUUCGAAAUCGAACCACAACAGCAACAACUACAGUGACACAAAUCCCUGGACUACACAGAAUUUCUGACCAAACAGUUCAUAAUCGGUUGAGGGAGGCAGGAAUUUUCCCUAGAAGACCAGCGGAGUGUCUGCAGUGGUGCCAGCAGAGGGUGAGAUGGACACGUGCCAGAUGGAGGACUGUUUUGUUCUCAAAUCAGUCUCAUUUUCCUGUCACACAUGUCUGUAGAUGUCAAGGAGAAUGUUAUGCUUCAAACUGCAUGCAACAAGUCUACCGUUUUGGUGGUGGUGGUGUCAUGGUGUGGGCAGGAAUCCACCAUGGUGGUCAUAUGGCUCUUGUGCAUGCGGCAGGUGCACUGAUGGGCAUCAGAUAUCGAGACGAAAUCGUGUAGCAUCACGUCAUUCCGCACAUGAACGUCAAUGGUGGAAUGUUUCAGCAUCUGUUAGUCAGGAGUUUCUGCAGCACCACAUUGUCCAGACAUUACCUUGGCCUGCCCAUUUGCAGGAUUUAAACCCAAUAGAACAUCUAUGAGAUGCACUGGAUCAGCAUGUACGCCGGAGGAAUCCACCACCCUAGACACUUCCGCAACUUCUUACAGCACUGCAGCAUGAGUGGCAGAACAUUCCGUAACAUGUUGUAUGUUUGAUUGCUUCCAUGCGUCGCAGUUGUCAAGCUGUCAUCAGGGCUCAUGGUGGUCAUAACCGAUACUGACAUUUUGCCCACCCCUAUGUCACACAUAUGCCUGUGUACAUGUUUCUGGUGAAUUCCCAGAGAUACUGUUUGGGACAUGUACAGAGUAAUCCCUUUCGCAUGACGUCUUGAUGUGUGGUUGCUUGUAUCAUGUCUACCAGUUUCUUUUAUUAAACUUUGAAAAUCAAUGUCGAAGUUUCAUUUUUUUUGAAGAGUAUAUUUAAAAUGAGUCCAGUUUAUAAAAUAUGACCAUGGAUAUUUGUUUAAUUCCUUGAGAGAAAAAACAAGUUCCUUGAUAUUUAAAACAAAAGUGCAUUUUUGAUGUCAUAAAUCUCAAUUGAAUAUUCACAAAUAACUGCAGUCUUCUACCUUAAAUGUAUACAAAAAUUUAAUUUCCGUUUUGGCAAAAACAUUCUCAAAUAUAGUCAAUAAAAUCAACUUUAAUAGUUUGUUGAGAAAACAGCUUAAAGUAUAGACUAAACCCUGAGUACCAGGUACUUGUUUCUUCAAGUUUACGCAGUUUAAUGCAGAACACCAUAGAAAACUAAUAUAUUUAAAUGCAUUUUUAUUCUGAGUAGAUGUAUUAAGACUGUUGCUAACUGCACAAUAGAGAUUGAAAAUUUACUGAACAUAUAAUAAAUUGCUGAUGUAUAACAAAUGUUAUAUUUGUGUGGACAGUCAAAAAAGAGUGUUACCAAAGUGUCAACAUCAAUCGAGUGGAAAGGUGAAGGAGAGUCGGUCCAAGUAGAAGGAUCAUUCAACAACUGGGAAGAGAAAAUUACAUUGGAGAAAAAAGAUGAUGUAUUUUCUGGGUCAAUAAGCAUGCCAGCCGGAGAAAAUCUGUAUAGAUUUUUUGUUGAUGAAAAAUGGAUGGUCGAUAAGGAUUUACCAGUCAAGAAUAACGAUAACGGAAAUGAAUGCAAUGUGAAAGAGGUUGCUGGAUAAGUCAUUUAUGGCGACUAGCAGAGAUUCAUCCAUGUGUAAAUUGUAGCUGUCCUAGAAAGAGCAAAGAAAUGGGGAUACAUCAAAGAAGCUACUUCUUACAUUUCCAAUGUAUCUAUGCUGUUGUGCAACAAAAAUAAUUUAAACUUAAUUCAUUUGUUAAUGAUUGAUAAAGACAUUUACUAUAACAUGUGCAAAGCUCAUACAUGUAGUUUGUUGGUCUGGUGGUUAACUGAGGACUUUACUCACAAUGUGGUAACUAGUUUGAUCCUUCACACGCCUAAUUCUGUCCAUGUAUUUGGUGCUCUCUACUGCUUAUAAAACAGUGUAUGGAUAGUCUAUUGAUGGAAGAUAAUAAAAUAAUAAAUUUACUUUAUUUAUAAAAGUGAUGAUAUUUUUGUUAAUUUCAUAUGCAGUUUGUACAAAUUUAACAAAUACUGAUAUGACACUAAGUCAAUGUUCAGAAUGCUAGUGUUUUUGAAAAAUAUAUUUGAUCCAUUUUUAGACAAGCUUUACUUAUCUUAGUUCAUGUUUUUGCAUCCCCAUUUCCCAUAAAACUGUAGACAGUGUAGUGAUUGCAAUAAUUGAUUAAAUUAGAAUAUCCAAAUUUGUUAUAUUAUAAUGUUUAUAUUUUCUGCAUACCAAAUUUAAGAAUUAUUAGUUGUAUUUUAUUUUAUACACUGAUGAAAAAAUAAACUAACAAAUUAUACAGAACUUUAAUUAAAUACUACGUUUUGUUUUUGUUUUUUUUUUUUUUUUUUUUUAAAUAUUAACUUGGUGUCGUCAUUAGUUUUCAUUAUUUUAUAUUAACACAAAAAAGAAAGGCCUAUAAAAAACAUCACAGUAAAAAUCUACAUACAUGUAUUUGCAUUUAGUGAACUAAAAUACAAAUGUUUAUAAUAUUGAAUAAAUAAUAUUUUAAGACAACAACUGUCUGUAGGCAAAAUCAUCAGAUUGUUUUUAAAAUGUUUGUUUUACAUAACAUGUAUUUCUUUGGUGUGGGGUAGUUUAUAUUGUAUUAGCUUUAAAUACUUUUAAAAUGUACUCUGUUGCUUGUCACAAUGCUCAUAUAUAACAAAUAAGUUGAUCUUAACUAGUCAAUUAUUAAAAUGCUCAAUAUUUCAUUUAACACCACACUGUUUUAAAGUGUACUCUGUUUAUGCUUGGUUAUGUUUAUACUAAAUUCCUACUGCCAGUCACUGAUUUUAGUGCAGUUUCUCUUAUUUCAAUUGUGCCAUCAUAGUUAUAUACCAAAUGAAUUGUACUGUUAAUGAAUUGUGCUUUAAGUAUUUAGAAUCCAAAAGGUGCUGUUACAUCCUCAUAUUACUGAUUUAUCAAUACAGUUAUUUUCACUGAAACUGUAAAAUGGAAUCUUAUAAAUAUUGUGGAUCUGUG